This 23-nucleotide microRNA is filed under the name Panagrellus redivivus. RNAcentral describes it as "prd-miR-7883c-3p". The record is from miRBase by way of RNAcentral. Lineage: Eukaryota; Metazoa; Nematoda; Chromadorea; Rhabditida; Panagrolaimidae.
AGGUGCAUCGUGGACUCAAAUAU